Cydia pomonella (codling moth) is the source of this 5940-nucleotide long non-coding RNA. RefSeq lists it as uncharacterized. The transcript is spliced from 3 exons. The record is from RefSeq and is a predicted model, not a curated record. NCBI's taxonomy places the organism in Eukaryota, Metazoa, Arthropoda, Insecta, Lepidoptera, Tortricidae.
CUGUGAUAUCUGCUUCAUUUUUCACUUUUGCUUUUUUAAGCUCAUUGCGCCGCUAGUCGCAAGAGCCGCUAGUCUAAUAAAAUAAAACUUUUUCCACCGACUACUAGUAACACCCCACUGUACUAUUAUUAGCCGAAAUUUAAUUGUAGACAAACCAGUAUAGUAAACUAUGAAGUUAGGCAUAUUAACCGGCAGGAAACGGGCAAUAAAUCCAAGUCAGUGACCCCGUGACAUCAGUACCGACAAUUCCGUUAUGCAAAACAUGUUUUCUAAAAUAAAAAUGUUAUGUUCGAGUAUGAGUGUGCGUGACGUACGGUUGUCCCAAAAACCUGUCAGUGAAACUUUGUAUAGGCACUCCAAACAUGUAGCCGGCCGACCUAAAAAAUGUGACGGUUAAAAUUCAAAGACAAAACGCUCCCGAAACCCCGACCCGGCCUCGCAGCAAUGUGGCAAAAAUGCCGUUCAAUUUAUGCCCAAAAUUUUAGUCCCGACUGGUCCCUUUUUGUUGCCAUCUGCCCGAUCCCGAGUCCAGACAGCUCCGCCCUAAAACAGUUUAGAGGCUAUCCUUUUACUCGCUUGUCAAAUCUAAUAUCGCUAUCUCUGUCUUAAUUUUCGAACGGCCAGGACCUGUUGUGCGUCUCGUUUUUGCACGCACCCUUUGAUCGUUCUAUCCGUUCUGGCUGGUGAUUACUCGUGUAUUUCCGCUUCCUACACGAGUCCGCCAUGUUUGGCGGGAGCGGGCCUGUCAAGUCGACGUUAGUUUGGCACGUAUCAAAGAUCCAAGCAAGGUCAGAAACCAAAUUGUACACUCGAUCGAGCUUUUCAUCUUGGUAAUGAAAUCGUAUUAUAACUGUUAUUCAUUAUUUUCAGAUGGAAAGUGAGCAUAGCUGCAGAUAGGAGCUAGGAAAAUUGGUGAAAUAUGUCAUCUACAUCCAGACUGCCAGUUAGCCGGGAUAAUAUAAGGUGCAUCUUGCAGAGGAUUAUAUGGAUUUGAAGAUUUCUGAAGAAUUGGAAGAGAGUAGGAUAUUUCUUUUCAGGAUUAAUUUUAAGAUGAAGAAAGAAUUUUUGGUGCCCAUCGGCAUCAAUAUUAGUGCCCUACAUCUACCCUGUAGAUCCGAAUUUGUUUGAAGUGAGGCGACAAAUUCGGUUCUAGAGAGGUUUGUGUGGUGCAUGCACUGCAACGAUCAAGCCUGAAGGGAACUGAAGGUUCACUGGAACAACACAAGGAACACUGCUUCAAGAAUAGUGAAAUCAGGAAGAAACUACGAAAGACCGAUAGGAACUCGGGAAAGGCACAAAGACAAAUGGUUGUAUUAUAAAUUUAUAACGUUUUAUGUAUAAUUACCCAAAAAAUAUCCAUAUUAUUUUCAAAAUUAUUUAUUUUAAAAUUGUUAUAAAAAAAACAUGGCUGACUCAUGGAUGAAUCAAAAAACAUCGUUAAUCAAAAAAGUUUAAAUCCUUAAAAUUUUAUCAGUAUCAAAUUUUACAAAAAAAUUAUGAUGUCAUAAAAAUAGGUACAGACUUAAAUGUCAAGUUAUUAAAAACAAUCACAUGUCAAAAAUACAGAAACAAAUAUGUUUAAAAACAAAACAAUAAAUACCUGCUAAUCAAAACUCUAUUUAGCAAUUGAUUCAAAAACAUUAUAAACUAAACCUCUAUAAAACAUAUUUAUCGUAAAAUCAUAACAUUAACCAAAUCUAGCCAUGCCCUAAAUAGCGUUGUAUUUUGGGUCAAUGUUUCGCAGACGCCGCCUCGUGCCCUAUGAAUGUUACUACCUGAUACAUUAUACAACUCCGACGCCCAGUGAUAUCACUAAUUUGUAGAAUUAUGAAUCAUGACUCAUGGUGCCACGAACUAUCACGCGGUUUAAAAUUAAUGUUGACUUUGACGUGGAAGUCGAAAAUAGUAUAAUGGACCGAUUUUUAUCUUUUUAUUUUUUUUCGUCAGAUUUUGAUAAGUUUCUCAUUCUGGGUUGAAUAAUUAGGAAAAUCCGAAUUUGGGACAAAACAAUGAAUCUAAAUUUCCGUUUGGUUACCAAAAUACCAUACAUUUUCAUAACUCAGAGGAAGAUUUUGUAGGAUAUACAUACCUAUAGUAAAAUUGCGCAAAAUAUAAUAUUCUUGUACGAAAUAGGGUAGGUACCUACUGACGAUAUGUUGAAAUUUUUCGCCUUACAACAAAGGAGUAAGACAAAAAUUUAAACAGAUCUUUUACAUCGACUGUACUCUACAUAUCCAUCAAAUUUAAUAUAAUUCUGACGAAUAAAACUACAAUUAAAUAAAAAUCGGCCCGAAUAAAUAGUGCUUUUUGUAUGAGUGCCUACCUAAACCUUAAAUUAAAUAUGUUCCGAUAACUUUGUGCUCGAAAUAUUACUACUUAGGUAAUUAGCACGAUAUCCUGGGGCCUAUUUCCCAAACGGUAUUAGUCUAAUAUUAUUAGUCUGUUGCCAUGGUAACCCAUACGACUUGACAGUUCGUGGACGAAUAAUAUUAGUCUAAUACCGUUCGAGAAAUGGGCCCCUGGUGCAAUAAUGACAUGAUACCUUAAUAAACACUGAAUCAAAAUUUAUACUAUAUUAUAUAAAAACAAGAAAUUACCUAGAUAUGCAAUUUGAUCUGAUAUACAUCUUAUUUUUUGUGAUUUAUUUAAAAUGAGUACUAGAAAGUAUUAACAAUAACAAUAUACAUUAAGAAUUAAAAAAACUAAUCGUUGUUUGUAGGUAGUUUAUUUCUAAAUUUUUACAUUUAUCUGCAAAGGUACUACAAAUUCUUAAAAUUCAUAAAUAAUGCGAGGGGAAAAAGUAACUUAAUUUCACUAUUUUUGUGGUAAAAGAACCUGUAUUUAAAAACCGAUUAAUCAUUCUAAUAUUGUGAAUAAUUUUACUAGUUACGAGUACUUAUAAACUCGCAUGUAGGAUAAUACCAUCACGGGUCUGUGGUAAUAACCAUGACUACCAUAUUUCAAUUCAUGUACCUAAAUUUGUAAUUAAUUAUUUAUAAUGCACUAAAUAUUAAUCCAUGUGUAAACAGGCCCUUAUUUUGUUCACCCUCACGUGAAAUGUUGCCGAUCAGACUUAAGACUACUAAUUCUCGCCCUAGGGCCCAUUUCUCGAACGGUAUUAGUCUAAUAUAUUAGUGUGUUGCCAUGGUAACUCAUACGACUUGACAGUUUGUGGACUAAUAUUAUUAUUAGUCUAAUAUCGAUUGAGAAAUGGGCCCCUGUAUUAGUCUUAUAUUAUUACUGUGUUGCCAUGGUAAACCCAUACUACUUGACAGUUCGUGUAAUAUUAUUAGUCCACAAAUUGUCAAAUCGUAUGGAUUUCCAUGACAACACACUAAUAAUAUUAGACUAAUUCUGUUCGUGGUUUGCGAAUUUGUAUGGCGAGAACCGGGAAUUUUCGGUCCUGAAUUUGUAUAGAAAACCAGUACCGGGAGCACCCCUUACGUGUCUUUACGUGACGUAACAUGAAUCCUUAGACGAGAGUCGACGAGCCGUGCCGAGUCACAUAUCGCUAGUGUGUCGAUACUUUCUGUCGACGCUCUGAUGUUAUGUGGCUGUUGAUCGUUUCCAGCGAUCCGGCGCAGCUAGUGCGGUUCAACAUAGGUGUAUUUAUGUAACUUGUCCGGGUCUAUCAUGCAAGACUGUCUUUAUGUGAGCACUAAGUGUUAAUAGGGAGUAUUUAUGCAAUGUUCUGCCGCCAGAGAGCAGCACUAUCACAUAUUCCAAACCAUGGAGUAACUUAAACAUACUAUGCCUUAAACAGUUUUUUGUCAUUUGCAGAUGCAUGUCGUUAUCUGCCUCUAUAUUGCUCGGAUAUGCAAGUGGCUGAUAACAAAACUUCGAUUUCCGUGUUUCGCGAUGUGCCCCCAGUGUGUGCUAGAGGCGCCCCCUACGCAGAGUUUUGCGUAAUAUCUUUUAUUUUAUGGCGUUUUUACAUUGUCCGAUCAAACAUUGGAUGUCGAAUACGACCACAAAGAAGUAAAAAUUUUAAAAGCGCCUUUUUAUAUUUAUUUACUCAUUGUUUAUUGUUCAAAAGAGACAGCAUUAAACUAAAAAAGGACUUGAUGCUAUAGCGCACUCUCUAGCAGCUUUUCUCCAAGGAUCACCCGACAUCCAUUAUCGGAUCGGACAAUUUGAAAACGCUCCUAUGAGAGUCGACGAGUCGUGCCGAGUCACAAUUGGAUAGUGUGUCGAAACCUCUCGCUGCACUGAUGAAUUGUGGCUGCUGAUCAUUUCAACGAUUCGGCGCAGUUGGUGCAACUUUCAUGAAACUGGGCUUAUUUCUUUCAGAGGACUAACCGCCAACAUCGAUAAACGUAUCUGCCUCUGUCGCUCGAAUAAGCAAGAGCGAUAGAGAGAUACGAUUUUCCAUUUUUCGACGAUGGCGAUGGGACCUUAGUAGGUAUUAUUUGUGACAUUUCAUAUAAAAUGUUGUUUCAUGGCGCAUUUGUUUUGUAAAGCUUCGUUGGUUAAGCCAUUUUGCCAAAAUACCUUUUUACCGAAAUGAUCUAAUUUUCUUAUUGUUAUACUUGUUAACAAAAUGUUAUUCAUUAUUAGUUAUAGCUGAGAAAUGGUGUGAGAGUAUUAUAUAAUAUAUAACACUUUAAUCCUAUUGUUGAAGAAAUCUAUGACUAGGCUGCUUAUUGAAUGACAUACGGCCCGAUUCGAAGAAUGAUUAAGACACGUUUAAGAUCGUGGAAAGAUCUUUAAAAGAUCGAUAACUAAACGGCAUCGGCAUGUCAAAAUUGACGUUUAUAUCGAUUCCGCUGUGAUCCCAAUUAGAUCUAUCUACGAUAUUUCUAACGUCAAAGUGACAUUGAUUUCCCGAAUCGAGCUGCUUCUGUCAAUUAUACGACAUACAAACGAUACCUAAAUGAGAACUUAUCUAAACCAGAACUUAUCAUUAUCGUAUUUCAUUCUUCGAAUCGGGCCGAUAGUCGUAACAUGACUUUCAUGUAUUAUGUACAAAUAAUUUUUUUUAAAGGGCUCUAGUUUAUUCAAAAUAAGAUGAAGUUGUAACUAAUAGGUACAGUCAGCAUCAACAGUAGCGGUUAAAACAACGCGCCAAAAGUAUAUCUGCCCCCUCUAAUACUUUUCCAAAUGGAGAUAGAACUCUACUGUUCUCUUUCUACAGUAUAAUAUUUUAUUCUACAGUGUAAUAGUUGGCUGCUUAGUCAAAUCAGUUUCUUUUUUCGAACUGUCAAAUGAUCAACCACUAUGGAAUCUCUAUGAAGUGUUUUGCCAUCUUUGCAUCUUUCUCUUGUUAUGAUUAUAACUACCGUGAAUUUAUACCGUGCUUAUUUUUUUAAAGGUAAUACGAAACACUAUCUUUGUAUUGAAUAAUAAAUACCUACUUAUUGAUAAUAUUCAUGCACAUAUUUUAUACUACGUCUGUGGCAAACAAUCAUACAGCCCGCCUGAUGGUAAGCAGUCUCCGUAGCCUAUGUACGCCUGCAACUCCAGAGGAGUUACAUGCGCGUUGCCGACCCUAAACCCGCCCCCCCUCGUUGAGCUCUGGCAACCUUACUCACCGGCAGGAACACAACACUAUGUAUACAACACUAUAUAUGUUUUAAUUCAUGGAAAUCAUACCAAAAAGAGAGGUGUUGCCUUACAUCAAAUGAGGUAGUUAAAGAAGAGGAAGAAGUGAAGUAAGGACUAAUGUAACAUACCCACCUAAUUUGACCAGCGCCUUUCUGGUUUAGCCCAUUGGUUGACUGAUAGAGAAUGCCUUAAGACAUUAAGUCCGCCAUUUGUACUACCAUAUAUUAUGCAAUAAAAAUAAUUAUAGAUCUUUGAUGAUUUAAAUUAUAUGUAUCUGUAGUUACCUAUUGCCACUUUGUUAAGAAUAUAGUAUUUCAUAAAUAUAAGCCAAUUAUUUUCUUUCCCUGUGUUUUUCUUAAUACAGAUUUUUGAUUCAAUAAAAGUUUUAGUAUUGAA